UACAGAGGUCUCAAGCGUUGUUCGGAUUCAUUGGGCGUAAAGGGUGUGUAGGUGGCGCCGUAAGUCGGGUGUGAAAUUUCGGAGCUUAACUCCGAAACUGCAUUCGAUACUGCGGUGCUUGAGGACUGGAGAGGAGACUGGAAUUCCUGGUGUAGCGGUGAAAUGCGCAGAUAUCAGGAGGAACACCGAUGGCGAAGGCAGGUCUCUGGGCCACUACUGACGCUGAGAAGCGAAAGCCAGGGGAGCAAACGGG
RNAcentral lists this ribosomal RNA (253 nucleotides) under uncultured bacterium. Its description in RNAcentral is "partial 16S ribosomal RNA". It matches the Rfam family "Bacterial small subunit ribosomal RNA", at positions 524 to 776 of the family's 1533-position model. The record is from RNAcentral.